Anser brachyrhynchus (Pink-footed goose) is the source of this 1677-nucleotide long non-coding RNA. Lineage: Eukaryota; Metazoa; Chordata; Aves; Anseriformes; Anatidae. The record is from Ensembl.
AUGAAUCAGAGCUCCGCAGAGCCGCGAGGGAUCCCAGUAGGAAUUGCUUUAUUCUGUUGUUUUUUCGCUGCCCGUGACCGAAGGCGGAGGCUCGGGCAGGGCUGCACUUGCUGCCUCGCGGGAUGCGCGCUGGGGAGGGAUGGAAAGUGGCUCCCGCAGCCCCGCGCUGUUCCAGGAAACGUGCGUAGGACGGGGCUUAAUCAGAUUACGGGGCUGCUGUGUUUGCAGGCUUCCUGCGUGAGUCUGAAGGGAAGAAGGAAAUUCUUCGCAUUAAACCGAGCUGGAAAUCGGGAACCGUGCGUUUCCUGUAUAUGCAAUAUUUUAUUUAUUUAUUUAUUUUUAAAUUUUGCGCAAACAGCUCACGCCGCUGCUUGUAGCGGUGGUGCUCUGCAAAGACCUCUGCUUGUUUUCGGUGGCCGAGGGGGACGUUUGGAGGAGAGGUGUGUGCUUUGGGGUCUCCUCCUGGCCUUUCGCAGCUGCUGCUCCCCUGCAGCAGGAGCUGUCGCAGGUGUCCUGCGCAGCCCCCGCGUGCGAAGGGCACUGCUGGGGGCCAGCUGCAGGAGCAGCAACCCCCGGGGGGGGGCACAAGUGUCGGGCUCUGGUUGCAGGGGAUUUCCUGCAUCCACCCGCUGAUGUUUGGGUAAGCUGUGGAUGAGUCUCGUCUCCUGCUGCGUCGCCUUCAAAAUGCCCUCGUGGUUGUUAGGAUGGGGCAGGGUUCGGUGCGUCUGUGCUGCAGCCCAGCCCUCCUGCUCUGUCCGUCCGUCUGUCCCUGCAGGACAGGCUGUGGGGCUCCGGGGGGGCUGUGUCUGUGGGGCUCUGUUCCUCCCUGUCGCUGGGGGCAGCGAGUGGGAGCCCUGAGCAGUGACAGUCCCCCCCGUCCAUCCGUGGCCGUGGCAGGAGCGUGCGUGCCCAGGGCGAAUCACAGCAGCUCCCCAUGCAAGAUCUUGGGGCUGGGGCAGCCUCAGGGCGAGCAGAAAUUACAUUUAUCUCGCUCGUUGCAGCGAUGGGGAGGGGGGGUAAGGGUGAGCUGAGCUUGCUCGCGGGGCUGGGGCUCGCUGCGACUGCCCUGAUUGUGUUAUCAGGUGAGGAGCCGGCCUCUCUGCAAGUAUCUGCUGGAGGCUUUCUGUGCCCCACGCUGGGGUGGUGCCCGGCCCCUGGUGGCUCUUAUCUUCCCGAGGGAGAAGCAGGCUCGUCUCUGGGCUGCUUGGUGGCCUGGGAGAAAAGGCACCAAGGCGGGGAGCGGGGAGAGGUGUCCCCCUCGGUGUGCGCCUCCAUCCGUGCGGUCCCUCUCCCGCACAGAGAGGGGUUUGCGCAGCUUCCCAGCAUCUCUGGAGGUAAGCCGUGCUGCAGCAGGCAUGGUUGUGGCUUCCCCCUGCGCUCCAGGCACCUCCGUGCCUCCCGUUGUGUCAUCUGGGGGAGAAGAUAUCGGUCCCGUUGGUGCGUGAGGGCCCUUCGUGCAACCCAAUCCGUUCCUCCUUCCUAUCGGGCUCACCCGGAUCCUGCCUUGUGACCUUGGGGUGUAAGGUCUGGAAAUUGCUCACAUUCCCAGUGCACGGUCAUCGUACCGCUAGCACAGCGCUGUGACCCCGUUCAGCAGCCCACCCACCUCCCGAGGCUGCUCCAGCAGAAGUUUUUCACUUAAAUAAAUUUCAACCUCGCCAUAACCCCCGCCGGAAC